RNAcentral lists this ribosomal RNA (301 nucleotides) under uncultured bacterium. RNAcentral describes it as "partial 16S ribosomal RNA". It matches the Rfam family "Bacterial small subunit ribosomal RNA", at positions 509 to 809 of the family's 1533-position model. The record is from RNAcentral.
CAGUCGCCACGGUAAUACGGAGGGGGCUAGCGUUGUUCGGAAUUACUGGGCGUAAAGCGCACGUAGGCGGCUUUGUAAGUUAGAGGUGAAAGCCCGGAGCUCAACUCCGGAACUGCCUUUGAAACUAGGUGACUAGAAUCUUGGAGAGGUCAGUGGAAUUCCGAGUGUAGAGGUGAAAUUCGUAGAUAUUCGGAAGAACACCAGUGGCGAAGGCGACUGACUGGACAAGUAUUGACGCUGAGGUGCGAAAGCGUGGGGAGCAAACAGGAUUAGAUACCCCCGUAGUCCCUGUCUCUUAUAA